AUUGAACGCUGGCGGCAGGCCUAACACAUGCAAGUCGAGCGGAUGAAGGGAGCUUGCUCCUGGAUUCAGCGGCGGACGGGUGAGUAAUGCCUAGGAAUCUGCCUGGUAGUGGGGGAUAACGUCCGGAAACGGGCGCUAAUACCGCAUACGUCCUGAGGGAGAAAGUGGGGGAUCUUCGGACCUCACGCUAUCAGAUGAGCCUAGGUCGGAUUAGCUAGUUGGUGGGGUAAAGGCCUACCAAGGCGACGAUCCGUAACUGGUCUGAGAGGAUGAUCAGUCACACUGGAACUGAGACACGGUCCAGACUCCUACGGGAGGCAGCAGUUGGGAAUAUUGGACCAUGGGCGAAAGCCUGAUCCAGCCCAGCCGCGUGUGUGAAGAAGGUCUUCGGGUUGUAAAGCACUUUAAGUUGGGAGGAAGGGCAGUAAGUUAAUACCUUGCUGUUUUGACGUUACCAACAGAAUAAGCACCGGCUAACUUCGUG
This 484-nucleotide ribosomal RNA is filed under the name uncultured bacterium. RNAcentral describes it as "partial 16S ribosomal RNA". It matches the Rfam family "Bacterial small subunit ribosomal RNA", at positions 30 to 507 of the family's 1533-position model. The record is from RNAcentral.